RNAcentral lists this ribosomal RNA (253 nucleotides) under uncultured bacterium. RNAcentral's name for it is "partial 16S ribosomal RNA". It matches the Rfam family "Bacterial small subunit ribosomal RNA", at positions 524 to 776 of the family's 1533-position model. The record is from RNAcentral.
UACAGAGGUCUCAACCGUUGUUCGGAUUCAUUGGGCGUAAAGGGUGCGUAGGCGGUCGCGCAAGUCGGAUGUGAAAUCUCAGGGCUCAACCUUGAAACUGCAUUCGAUACUGCGUGGCUAGAGUGCUGGAGAGGAGACUGGAAUUUACGGUGUAGCAGUGAAAUGCGUAGAUAUCGUAAGGAAGACCAGUGGCGAAGGCGAGUCUCUGGACAGUUCCUGACGCUGAGGCACGAAGGUCAGGGGAGCAAACGGG